Molecule: ribosomal RNA, 402 nt
Filed under: uncultured Eubacteriales bacterium
Lineage: Bacteria; Bacillati; Bacillota; Clostridia; Eubacteriales
Description: uncultured Clostridiales bacterium partial 16S ribosomal RNA
Rfam family: Bacterial small subunit ribosomal RNA
Source: RNAcentral
UGGGGAAUAUUGCACAAUGGGGGAAACCCUGAUGCAGCAACGCCGCGUGAGUGAAGAAGGUCUUCGGAUUGUAAAGCUCUGUUGUAGGGGACGAUAAUGACGGUACCCUACAAGGAAGCCACGGCUAACUACGUGCCAGCAGCCGCGGUAAUACGUAGGUGGCGAGCGUUGUCCGGAAUUACUGGGCGUAAAGGAUGCGUAGGCGGAUUAAUAAGUCAGAUGUGAAAUUCCCGGGCUUAACUUGGGAGCUGCAUUUGAAACUGUUAGUCUGGAGUGCAGGAGAGGUAAGUGGAAUUCCUAGUGUAGCGGUGAAAUGCGUAGAGAUUAGGAAGAACACCAGUGGCGAAGGCGACUUACUGGACUGUAACUGACGCUGAGGCAUGAAAGCGUGGGGAGCAAACA